GCCGAUGUAGCUCAGGGGUAGAGCGUUUCCUUGGUAAGGAAGAGGUCGGCAGUUCGAAUCUGCUCGUUGGCUC
Molecule: transfer RNA, 73 nt
Filed under: Flavobacteriaceae bacterium
Lineage: Bacteria; Pseudomonadati; Bacteroidota; Flavobacteriia; Flavobacteriales; Flavobacteriaceae
Description: tRNA-Thr(ggt)
Rfam family: tRNA
About the family: Transfer RNA (tRNA) molecules are approximately 80 nucleotides in length. Their secondary structure includes four short double-helical elements and three loops (D, anti-codon, and T loops). Further hydrogen bonds mediate the characteristic L-shaped molecular structure. tRNAs have two regions of fundamental functional importance: the anti-codon, which is responsible for specific mRNA codon recognition, and the 3' end, to which the tRNAs corresponding amino acid is attached (by aminoacyl-tRNA synthetases). tRNAs cope with the degeneracy of the genetic code in two manners: having more than one tRNA (with a specific anti-codon) for a particular amino acid; and 'wobble' base-pairing, i.e. permitting non-standard base-pairing at the 3rd anti-codon position.
Source: RNAcentral